UCUAGUAACAAAACAGUAAAAAAUAAUUACUACGUUGUAAUGGUAAAUAAGAAGUUUGAACCUGGCCUAAAUAAGAAGUUGAAGCCUGGCCGUUUGAUAUAUUUAGAGAAAAUCGCGUAAUUUUUUAGGGUUUUGCAAUUAAAGCUUAUGUAAAGAUUCUAGGAUUCGGAACAUAAAACUCUAUGAUUAAGAGUUCAAAAAAUUCAUUACAGAAGGAUGAAUUAAAAAGAUCAAGAAGUUCUGUGUCAUAUAAAUCUAAAAGGACAAGUUAAAAACACUUGUGUAUAAACAAAGUAAACACAAGUAUGAAAAGAAAUUAUAGAACACAAAGUGCCAGAAAGGAUCGUCAAGAUAAUUCGCUGAUCACGAUCUCUCCAACAGGAAGCCAUUUUCAUGCCACCUGUUUACAUAUAGCUUUAAGUAACAUCCAGUGUCAUUGUUUGCAUCAAUUGUGAUAUGUUACCAUUUUAUAGAUGAAGUUCAUACACUUUGACAGAUAACAGAAGGAUUGCUCGAGAGAGAGAGAAAAAAAACAGCGUUUCUCUUAUAGUUUAUUGCUCAUAAUGUCACAUUGGCUGUGUUUCUAAACGACUUGCAAAUAAUUCCUGAUCUUUGUGAAUGAUGUUCUGUUGUCUAAGAAAUUGCUUUGAUGGCCUCGGCUUCGCUACGACUCAAGCACCGAAGCGAGAACGAAAUCCUAUUAUCUUGGAUACGACUCAUAUGGGAAAUGAAGUAGUGAUAGUGAAAAAUGGAUUAAGAAUAUGUGGAAGCGGAGGUGCCUUGACGAAUGCUCCUCUUAUUCAGAGUAAAAGUUAUUUUGAAGUAAAAGUACAGCAGAACGGUAUAUGGGGCGUUGGAUUAGCCAGAAGAGACACAAAUCUCAAUGUUGCUGUUGGAGGGAAGGACUCAGAAAGUUGGGCGCUUGAUUCUGAUGGUAUCAUAAGGCACAAUGAGCAAGAACUCCAUAAGAUUCAGAAUCCUGUACAGGAAGGAGAUGUCAUAGGAGUAUCUUAUGACCACAUAGAAUUGAAUUUUUAUUUGAAUGGAGAAUCCAUGAAUGCUCCAAUUAUAGGUAUAAAAGGACGGAUUUAUCCAGUGUUAUAUGUGGAUGAUGGAGCUAUUCUAGAUUUAAUUCUAGAAAACUUUAUUUAUACUCCGCCAGUGGGUUUUGAGAAAAUAAUGUUGGAACAAUCAUUGCUCUAGCAGAGCGAUACCGAUAAAAAUAAAAUAAUCGUAUUAUCAAAGCUGACGUUCUUCGUCCACUUUGAGUUUUGUUAAAUUGAGUUAAAUUAAAUGUUGUGAAUGUUAAGGCUGACUAAUUAUCGCAGUCAUAUUGAACAUAAUGUCAUAACACAAAAGACAUAUUGAAAUUUCUUGCAUUUCAUUUGCAAAUAAAGAGAGAUUGGAUAAAACAACAUUAAAAAUCAUUUUAAGACACUUAUAGAAAUUGGCGGAAACGGAAGUGAGCGGCAAGAAUUCUACUGCAGUUUCUUAUGAUAAAAAGAUGAACUAACAGAAGAAAGGAAAACGGGAGCGUCCCGUUUGACCACGUUGCGAUCGGACAGCUGCUUUCAACGAUCGAUGCCUGGAGAUUUUCCACUGGAUUAAUCAAUCAAAAAAUUUUAUUUUAAAUUGGCCAAUCGACAACGUGAGCAAUCAAACGCUACCCAUAAUGAAGUAGAUUUUACAUAACUGAGAAAAAAUUCUUUAGAAUUUAUUAAAAGACAGCAUUAAUUGUUCAAAUGAAUUAGUCAUUCCUAAUCCGAUGUCUAUUUUACAAUAAUUGCAAUACGUAUUUUUAUUUGUAUAAUUGUAAUGAUAGAUACAAAUAUGUAUAUACAAUUUGUAAUAUAUACUAUUUGAAUGUGUGUACGCGCGUUCGAAA
Molecule: unclassified non-coding RNA, 1885 nt
Filed under: Pogonomyrmex barbatus (red harvester ant)
Lineage: Eukaryota; Metazoa; Arthropoda; Insecta; Hymenoptera; Formicidae
Description: sPRY domain-containing protein 7, transcript variant X1
Source: RNAcentral